This 426-nucleotide ribosomal RNA is filed under the name uncultured bacterium. RNAcentral's name for it is "bacterial SSU rRNA". It matches the Rfam family "Bacterial small subunit ribosomal RNA", at positions 355 to 774 of the family's 1533-position model. The record is from RNAcentral.
UAGGGAAUCUUCCGCAAUGGACGAAAGUCUGACGGAGCAACGCCGCGUGAGUGAUGAAGGUUUUCGGAUCGUAAAGCUCUGUUGCCAGGGAAGAACGUCCGAUAGAGUAACUGCUAUCGGAGUGACGGUACCUGAGAAGAAAGCCCCGGCUAACUACGUGCCAGCAGCCGCGGUAAUACGUAGGGGGCAAGCGUUGUCCGGAAUUAUUGGGCGUAAAGCGCGCGCAGGCGGUCAUUUAAGUCUGGUGUUUAAUCCUGGGGCUCAACCCCGGGUCGCACUGGAAACUGGGUGGCUUGAGUACAGAAGAGGAGAGUGGAAUUCCACGUGUAGCGGUGAAAUGCGUAGAUAUGUGGAGGAACACCAGUGGCGAAGGCGACUCUCUGGGCUGUAACUGACGCUGAGGCGCGAAAGCGUGGGGAGCAAACA